GCCGGGCAUGGUCGUACACACCUGUAAUCCCAGUGGCUUGGGAGGCUGAGGCAGGAGGAUCUGGAGUUCAAGGUCAGCCUCAGCAACUGAGUGAGACCUUAAUCAACCCAGUGAGACCCUGUCUUUA
Molecule: small RNA, 127 nt
Filed under: Marmota monax (woodchuck)
Lineage: Eukaryota; Metazoa; Chordata; Mammalia; Rodentia; Sciuridae
Source: RNAcentral